Molecule: long non-coding RNA, 421 nt
Organism: Paramormyrops kingsleyae
Lineage: Eukaryota; Metazoa; Chordata; Actinopteri; Osteoglossiformes; Mormyridae
Source: RefSeq, a predicted model, not a curated record
AGGACAGAAACACCAUGGACCCCUGAUUUGAAAGGGACUCUUGAGAGCAUUGAGGAGGAGACACCUUUAACAAGAGAUCUUCAAACUGCUGCAGAGUGGUUGAAGGUAAAUAUCAAUCUCUUCAGAGGCGCAGUGUUCCAGCCACGCUAUCUGGAGAUGGAGGAGGAAGCUCAGAGGAGAGCUGUGCAAAAGGUGUACGAUUACCCAAGCUUUGAGGCCAAAGAACCGUUUUUGUUUGUCUUUCAGAAUCAGGAAGACAUGGAACUUUUUAUUGUUGAAUGUCGGGACAAAAUGCGAUUAAAGAUUAAUUGCAUGUAUGAGUAGUUUUAGAAUAAUUUUAUAUAGAUUGCAUUGUUUAUUUAAUUUGUUUAUUUUAACAGUUUUAAUUUUUGUUGUAUUUUUCAUUAAAAUAUAACUUGUU